UACGUAGGGGGCUAGCGUUGUCCGGAAUCAUUGGGCGUAAAGAGCGUGUAGGCGGCCCGGUAAGUCCGCUGUAAAAGUCAAAGGCUCAACCUUUGAAUGUCAGUGGAUACUGCCGGGCUAGAGUCCGGAAGAGGCGAGUGGAACUCCUGGUGUAGCGGUGGAAUGCGCAGAUAUCAGGAAGAACACCAACGGCGAAGGCAGCUCGCUAGGACGGUACUGACGCUGAGGAGCGAAAGCAUGGGGAGCGAACAGG
This 253-nucleotide ribosomal RNA is filed under the name uncultured bacterium. RNAcentral describes it as "partial 16S ribosomal RNA". It matches the Rfam family "Bacterial small subunit ribosomal RNA", at positions 524 to 776 of the family's 1533-position model. The record is from RNAcentral.